UACGAAGGGGGCUAGCGUUGUUCGGAAUUACUGGGCGUAAAGAGCGCGCAGGCGGCUGGUCAAGUCCGAUGUGAAAGCUCCCGGCUUAACUGGGAAAUUGCAUCGGAAACUGAUCGGCUGGAAGGUGGGAGGGGGUAGCGGAAUUCCCGGUGUAGUGGUGAAAUGCGUAGAUAUCGGGAGGAACACCAGUGGCGAAAGCGGCUACCUGGCCCAUUCUUGACGCUGAGGCGCGAAAGCUAGGGGAGCAAACGGG
RNAcentral lists this ribosomal RNA (253 nucleotides) under uncultured bacterium. RNAcentral's name for it is "partial 16S ribosomal RNA". It matches the Rfam family "Bacterial small subunit ribosomal RNA", at positions 524 to 776 of the family's 1533-position model. The record is from RNAcentral.